RNAcentral lists this ribosomal RNA (362 nucleotides) under uncultured bacterium. RNAcentral's name for it is "bacterial SSU rRNA". It matches the Rfam family "Bacterial small subunit ribosomal RNA", at positions 29 to 419 of the family's 1533-position model. The record is from RNAcentral.
AACGAACGCUGGCGGCAGGCUUAACACAUGCAAGUCGAACGCACUCUUCGGAGUGAGUGGCAGACGGGUGAGUAACGCGUGGGAAUCUACCCAGCCCUUCGGAAUAGCUCCGGGAAACUGGAAUUAAUACCGAGUACGCCCUACGGGGGAAAGAUUUAUCGGGGUUGGAUGAGCCCGCGUUGGAUUAGCUAGUUGGUGGGGUAAUGGCCUACCAAGGCGACGAUCCAUAGCUGGUCUGAGAGGAUGAUCAGCCACACUGGGACUGAGACACGGCCCAGACUCCUACGGGAGGCAGCAGUGGGGAAUAUGGACAAUGGGCGAAAGCCUGAUCCAGCCAUGCCGCGUGAGUGAUGAAGGCCUUA